RNAcentral lists this ribosomal RNA (438 nucleotides) under uncultured bacterium. RNAcentral's name for it is "bacterial SSU rRNA". It matches the Rfam family "Bacterial small subunit ribosomal RNA", at positions 767 to 1220 of the family's 1533-position model. The record is from RNAcentral.
AGCAAAUAGAUACCCAGGUAGUCCACGCUGUAAACGAUGGAUGCUAGCUGUGAUACGUAUCGACCCGUGUCGUAGCGAAGCUAACGCGUUAAGCAUCCCGCCUGUGGAGUACGGCCGCAAGGCUAAAACAUAAAGGAAUUGACGGGGACCCGGCACAAGCGGUGGAGCGUGUUGUUUAAUUCGAUGGUAAGCGAAGAACCUUACCCAGGUUUGACAUCCUUGGAAAUUCUGCGAAAGCAGAGUGUGCCUUUUGGUAACCAAGUGACAGGUGAUGCAUGGCCGUCUUCAGCUCGUGUCGUGAGACGUUAGGUUAAGUCCUUCAACGAGCGCAACCCUUAUAGUUAGUUGUAUUUUUCUAGCUAGACUGCCCUGGUAACAGGGAGGAAGGAGGGGAUGAUGUCAGGUCAGUAUCUCCCUUACUAUCUGGGGUCGUACAAA